Long non-coding RNA from Labeo rohita (rohu), 344 nucleotides. RefSeq lists it as uncharacterized. The transcript has 3 exons. Lineage: Eukaryota; Metazoa; Chordata; Actinopteri; Cypriniformes; Cyprinidae. The record is from RefSeq and is a predicted model, not a curated record.
GAAGUAGUUCCGGCAACAAUGUUCUUCCACAAGACGCAUGCAGUUCUAAAAGAUCCCACCAUUUACUGGCGCGUCACUGUAUGUCUGAUCUAAAACACAACUACCCUCAUGUUUUGCCGCAGGACAGCAAUUACUGCAUAGCUUAAGUUCAUGGGGAUGUGAGGUGACACCUGAACGUAGGAUACAGAUCAGGAGAGGCCUCUUCCACUCUGCCGGAUACAAUUGUCUGACACUAUCUGGAUUGUAAUAUCCUCUGAUGAAAAGGAGUGAUGUAAUAUUCAUGGGUGCCCAUUAUUCCCCUGCUGGGCUGCGUGUGUGGUGAGAGAGGUGGAGGUACAGUACAG